CGAGGGGAGUGAAAAAGAACCUGAAACCGUGUACGUACAAGCAGUGGGAGCACAGGUUUACCUGUGUGACUGCGUACCUUUUGUAUAAUGGGUCAGCGACUUAUAUUCUGUAGCAAGGUUAACCGAAUAGGGGAGCCGGAGGGAAACCGAGUCUUAAUUGGGCGUUAAGUUGCAGGGUAUAGACCCGAAACCCGGUGAUCUAGCCAUGGGCAGGUUGAAGGUUGGGUAACACUAACUGGAGGACCGAACCGACUAAUGUUGAAAAAUUAGCGGAUGACCUGUGGCUGGGGGUGAAAGGCCAAUCAAACCGGGAGAUAGCUGGUUCUCCCCGAAAGCUAUUUAGGUAGCGCCUCGUGAAUUCAUCUCCGGGGGUAGAGCACUGUUUCGGCUAGGGGGCCAUCCCGGCUUACCAACCCGAUGCAAACUGCGAAUACCGGAGAAUGUUAUCACGGGAGACACACGGCGGGUGCUAACGUCCGUCGUGAAGAGGGAAACAACCCAGACCGCCAGCUAAGGUCCCAAAGUCAUGGUUAAGUGGGAAACGAUGUGGGAAGGCCCAGACAGCCAGGAUGUUGGCUUAGAAGCAGCCAUCAUUUAAAGAAAGCGUAAUAGCUCACUGGUCGAGUCGGCCUGCGCGGAAGAUGUAACGGGGCUAAACCAUGCACCGAAGCUGCGGCAGCGAACGUAUCACCCAAGACAACUUUACGGAGUUGACGAUUGACGGAGCGAAGCGACGUCAAAGCGU
This 745-nucleotide ribosomal RNA is filed under the name Salmonella enterica subsp. enterica serovar Wangata. RNAcentral's name for it is "partial 23S ribosomal RNA". It matches the Rfam family "Bacterial large subunit ribosomal RNA", at positions 530 to 1250 of the family's 2925-position model. The record is from RNAcentral. Lineage: Bacteria; Pseudomonadati; Pseudomonadota; Gammaproteobacteria; Enterobacterales; Enterobacteriaceae.